UCUUCAUUUUUGGUUUACAAGACCAAUG
Molecule: non-coding RNA, 28 nt
Filed under: Cricetulus griseus (Chinese hamster)
Lineage: Eukaryota; Metazoa; Chordata; Mammalia; Rodentia; Cricetidae
Source: RNAcentral